Molecule: ribosomal RNA, 264 nt
Filed under: uncultured bacterium
Lineage: Bacteria
Description: partial 16S ribosomal RNA
Rfam family: Bacterial small subunit ribosomal RNA
Source: RNAcentral
UACAACGAGUCGCAAGCUCGCGAGAGUAAGCUAAUCUCUUAAAGCCGUUCUCAGUUCGGACUGUAGGCUGCAACUCGCCUACACGAAGUCGGAAUCGCUAGUAAUCGCGGAUCAGCAUGCCGCGGUGAAUACGUUCCCGGGCCUUGUACACACCGCCCGUCACACCAUGGGAGUUUGUAACGCCCAAAGUCGGUGGCCUAACCUUUAUGGAGGGAGCCGCUUAAGGCGGGACAGAUGACUGGGGUGAAGUCGUAACAAGGUAGC